GGGCGAAUAGUUCAGCUGGUUAGAGCGCCUGCCUUACAAGCAGGAGGUCACAGGUUCGAAUCCUGUUUCGCCCACCA
RNAcentral lists this transfer RNA (77 nucleotides) under bacterium. RNAcentral's name for it is "tRNA-Val". It matches the Rfam family "tRNA". From Rfam's summary of the family: Transfer RNA (tRNA) molecules are approximately 80 nucleotides in length. RNAcentral also lists the same sequence under 1 other name. The record is from RNAcentral.